GUGAACGCUGGCGGUAGGCCUAACACAUGCCAGUCGAACGGCAGCACAGUAAGAGCUUGCUCUUACGGGUGGCGAGUGGCGGACGGGUGAGGAAUACAUCGGAAUCUACUUUUUCGUGGGGGAUAAUGUAGGGAAACUUACGCUAAUACCGCAUACGACCUACGGGUGAAAGCAGGGGAUCUUCGGACCUUGCGCGAUUGAAUGAGCCGAUGUCGGAUUAGCUAGUUGGCGGGGUAAAGGCCCACCAAGGCGACGAUCCGUAGCUGGUCUGAGAGGAUGAUCAGCCACACUGGAACUGAGACACGGUCCAGACUCCUACGGGAGGCGGCAGUGGGGAAUAUUGGACAAUGGGCGCAAGCCUGAUCCAGCCAUACCGCGUGGGUGAAGAAGGCCUUCGGGUUGUAAAGCCCUUUUGUUGGGAAAGAAAAGCAGCAGGUUAAUACCCCGCUGUUCUGACGGUACCCAAAGAAUAAGCACCGGCUAACUUCGUG
This 491-nucleotide ribosomal RNA is filed under the name uncultured bacterium. Its description in RNAcentral is "partial 16S ribosomal RNA". It matches the Rfam family "Bacterial small subunit ribosomal RNA", at positions 29 to 507 of the family's 1533-position model. The record is from RNAcentral.